This 784-nucleotide long non-coding RNA is filed under the name Medicago truncatula (barrel medic). RNAcentral describes it as "lncRNA gene5433". The record is from RNAcentral. Lineage: Eukaryota; Viridiplantae; Streptophyta; Magnoliopsida; Fabales; Fabaceae.
AACAUUAUACAACAAAAAGGUCAUAUAUCAAAGAACUUUCUACAGCAAUUUAGUAACAGAACUUUUACAUGUUUAUUAAAAAAUUAAAACUCAAUAGCCAGUGGAAGCAUUUGUAGUAGUAUGUGUAGAGGAUGAAGAUGUAGGUGAAUUUGAAUGAACAGCACCUUCACUGUUAUUACCCCUUUCUUCUGAGAUUGAAUGCUCAAACUUCUUAAACUCUGGUUUUUUAAUUGUAGCAACUUGAGGAUGUGUGGCUACUGGUGCAUAGAUUCCAGAAGGUGCCACAACUUUUGUCAUUUCCCCUGUUGUUGUUGAUGAAGCUACCCCACCAUACUCUUGUUGUUGGACAAAAAUGUUUCCUACAAGGACAAAAGGUGCUGCUGUUUGUGAAUUGGCACUUUCGUUAUUUGUUGAACUUGGUCUUCUAGUAUGCAACCGGUAUUUCUGUGCAAAACAAAUAAAAAAAUUUAGAUUUUAAUUGAGGAUAAGGAAGUGUUAAUGUACAAAAAUUAUCACUCAUUUGUUUUGAAAUCCUGUAAAAUUGAAAGGGACUAAAACAAGAUGAAACAGUUAAAACUAAAUGAUUCAAUAUCAAACAAAAAACUGAGACUAACUAGAUAAUAGAAAUCACAAAAUCAAAACAAAUACUCAAAUUAAAAUUGACAACAAAAGAGUUGGGAACCUGUAAAUGGCUUUUGACUUCAUCAUUUGUGAGGCCAUCAACAUUCAUUACCUCUCUGAUUUGCUUUGGUGUGGCACCUAUAGAACAGAAGCAAAAAAACAC